This 460-nucleotide ribosomal RNA is filed under the name uncultured bacterium. RNAcentral's name for it is "partial 16S ribosomal RNA". It matches the Rfam family "Bacterial small subunit ribosomal RNA", at positions 338 to 795 of the family's 1533-position model. The record is from RNAcentral.
CCUACGGGUGGCAGCAGUGAGGAAUAUUGGUCAAUGGACGCAAGUCUGAACCAGCCAUGCCGCGUGCAGGAAGACGGCUCUAUGAGUUGUAAACUGCUUUUGUACGAGGGUAAACGCAGACACGCGUAUCUGUCUGAAAGUACCGUACGAAUAAGGAUCGGCUAACUCCGUGCCAGCAGCCGCGGUAAUACGGAGGAUACAAGCGUUAUCCGGAUUUAUUGGGUUUAAAGGGGGCGUAGGUGGUCGGAUAAGUUAGAGGUGAAAUCCGGAGGCUCAACUUCGGAAUUGCCUCUGAUACUGGUAGGCUAGAGAGUAGUUGCGGUAGGCGGAAUGUGUGGUGUAGCGGUGAAAUGCUUAGAGAUCAUACAGAACACCGAUUGCGAAGGCAGCUUACCAAGCUACUUCUGACGUUGAGGCACGAAAGCGUGGGUAGCAAACAGGAUUAGAUACCCGAGUAGUC